GGAGAUUGAGGAGCUGAAGAAGAGAGACGCUGAGCUGAAGGAGCUUUCAGACACCAAGGACAACAUUCACUUCCUGCAGACCUUCUCAUCUCGCUGUGUUCUUCCUUCUGAUGGAGACUCGCUCAGCUUCACUGUCACUGCUGAUUUCUCUUUUGAGGACCUGAGAAAGCAGCUGUCAGGUCUGAAAAAGAGUCUGAAGAAGAUCAGCCAGUGGGACAUCAAGGCAUGGACAACAUCAGGUCAUGAAGCUCCACUUGUCACCCUACAGCCUCCUGAACCUCACAGCAGAGACGAGUUUUUACAACACCAAACUGCAACAAUCGUUACAACCGAGCACCCAG
This is a long non-coding RNA of Polypterus senegalus (gray bichir), 341 nucleotides long. RefSeq lists it as uncharacterized. The record is from RefSeq and is a predicted model, not a curated record. Lineage: Eukaryota; Metazoa; Chordata; Cladistia; Polypteriformes; Polypteridae. The transcript has 4 exons.